Molecule: ribosomal RNA, 271 nt
Filed under: uncultured bacterium
Lineage: Bacteria
Description: partial 16S ribosomal RNA
Rfam family: Bacterial small subunit ribosomal RNA
Source: RNAcentral
UACGGGUAGGGUGCGAUGCGUUGUCCGGAAUUAUUGGGAGCGUAAAGAGCUCGUAGGCGGCUUGUUGCGAUCCUGCCGUUGAAAAGUUCAACAGCUCAACUGUGGACGUGCGGUGGAUUACGGGGCAGGCUUGAGUUCGGUAGGGGAGACUGGGAAUUCCUGGUGUAGCGGUGAAAUGGCGCCAGAUAGUCAGGAGGAACACCCGGUGGCGAAGGCGGGUCUCUGGGACCGUAAGCUGACGACGUGAGGCGACCGAAAGCCAGGGGAGCAA